This 1493-nucleotide ribosomal RNA is filed under the name uncultured eubacterium env.OPS 6. RNAcentral describes it as "16S ribosomal RNA". It matches the Rfam family "Bacterial small subunit ribosomal RNA". The record is from RNAcentral.
AGAGUUUGAUCCUGGCUCAGCGCGAACGCUGGCGGCGUGCCUAACACAUGCAAGUCGUGCGGAGGGGUGAUGAGCCCCUCAGCGGCAAACGGGUGAGUAACACGUGAGUAACCUACCCUUGGGAAGGGGAUAACCCUCCGAAAGGAGGGCUAAUACCCUAUACUGCCGGGGACCACUAAGGUCUUCCGGUGAAAGGUGGCCCCUGCUCUGCAUGCUACCGCCCAAGGAGGGGCUCGCGGCCCAUCAGGUAGUUGGUGGGGUAACGGCCUACCAAGCCUAUGACGGGUAGCCGGCCUGAGAGGGUGGUCGGCCACAGUGGGACUGAGACACGGCCCACACCCCUACGGGGGGCAGCAGUGGGGAAUCGUGGGCAAUGGGCGAAAGCCUGACCCCGCGACGCCGCGUGGAGGAAGAACCCUUCGGGGUGUAAACUCCUGUCGGGGGGGACGAUGUGCCUUGGAAUGAAUAAUUCCAGGGCAUGACGGUACCCCCAGAGGAAGGACGCUAACUACGUNCCAGCAGCCGCGGUAAUACUUAGUCCCGAGCGUUGCGCGAAUUCACUGGGCGUAAAGGUCCGCAGCCGGACGGGUAAGCGGUGCGUCAAAGCCCACCGCUCAACGGUGGAACGGCGUACCGAACUGCCUGUCUUGAGGCACGCUUAGGCAGGCGGAAUUCCCGGUGUAGCGGUGAAAUGCGUAGAUAUCGGGAGGAACACCGAAGGCGAAGGCAGCCUGCUGGGUCUGUCCUGACGGUCAGGGACGAAAGCUGGGGGAGCAAACCGGAUUAGAUACCCGGGUAGUCCCAGCCGUAAACCAUGGGCGCUUGGCGUCGUCCUCGUGGCGGUGCCGCAGCUAACGCGGUAAGCGCCCCGCCUGGGAGUACGGGCGCAAGCCUGAAACUCAAAGGAAUUGGCGGGGGCCCGCACAACCGGUGGAGCGUCUGGUUCAAUUCGAUGCUAACCGAAAAACCUUACCCGGGUUUGACAUGGUGGGAAACCCUUGCGAAAGCGARGGGUGCCGUCCUCUGGACGGAAUUCCACCACAGGUGGUCCAUGGUCGUCGUCAGCUCGUGUCGUGAGAUGUUGGGUUAAGUCCCGCAACGAGCGCAACCCUUGUCCUGUGUUACCAGCGGGUAAUGCCGGGUACUCACAGGAGACUGCCGGCGAUAAGCCGGAGGAAGGAGGGGAUGACGUCAGAUCAUUAUGCCCUUUAUGCCCUGGGCUACACAGGCGCUACAGUGGCAGGGACAAUGGGCUGCAACGCUGCAAGGCGGAGCUAAUCCCAUAAACCCUGUCGUGGUGCAGAUUGAGGGUUGCAACUCACCCUCAUGAAGGCGGAAUCGGUAGUAAUGGCGAAUCAGCAAUGUCGCCGUGAAUACGUUCCCGGGUCUUGUACACACCGCCCGUCACGCCAUGGGAGUCGGGUUCAUCGGAAGUCCCCGGGCUAACCUACAAAGGAGGCAGGGGCCGAUGAUGGGCCUGAUGACUGGGGCGA